GGGGGGGGGGGGGGGGGGGGGGGGGGGGGGGGGGGGGGGGGGGGGGGGGGGGGGGGGGGGGGGGGGGGGGGGGGGGGGGGGGGGGGGGGGGCCAGCCCCGUGCCGCCCCCCACCAGUGCUGCCUGUGGUAUUUAUUAGUGACCCUCGCCCCACAGCGCGCCCACCCCGCCACAGCCCGGCCUCAUCCCCCCCUGCCACCGGCACCGGGGUCCUUCCCUCUGUCACCCACGCCGUCCCAGCCGCCGUCGGAGGAUGGAGCUGCCGGGCAGGGGGUCGGAGGACGACGCUGUGUCCGUAGAUGACUCCCCAGGAGCCGCCACCAGCGGGAGCCACGGUGGGCACGGGACCCAGCCCUGUGCCAGGGGGGGGGGGGGGGGGGGGGGGGGGGGGGGACGGUGGGCACGGGACCCAGCCCUGUGCCAGCCCCUCCCUCUGUGCCUCCAUCACCCACUUCUCCGGUGGGGAAAGGCCUGGGUCUGCUCCCCGCUGGCUGCCCGUGGACAUCUCUGCUCCCUUCCGUGUCCUCAUCCCUGUGGCCCCAGGCUCUCACACAGAGCGUGUCCAGGCAAGGGAAGGGCACUGAGGGCAGCGUCCCCUCCCUGACACUUGGCUGUGGUAAUGGCCAGGGCCACCAGGGCUCCUGCGGGGUCAACCCAGCCUGUCCCCAGGCCUGCUCUGCUGCUCCUGGGCUCAGCUCCACAUGUUGGAGCCCCUCACUCUGGUGCUGGCAGUGACAGCCAUUCCUCUGUCUCGGCUGCUGGCCGGUGCCACUGGGCUGUGGCCAGCGCUCGUGUCCUCCUGGGGCAAUGCCAGCAAGGGAAGGGGAACCUGGGGGGACCCAGCCUUGUGGGGCAGGAAUGGGGUGGGGGUCCCGUGUUUCCUCGUGGCAGCAUCCUGUUCCCUUCCUGCCUCUGCCACCCAGCAGUACCAGCUUUGCAGAGCCACGUUCCGGGGUCCCAGGCUGCAGCGUUGGGUCCCCCAAGGGAGUGGGGCAGCCCAGUUUGUCCCAGUACUGGCACUGGGAGCUGCCAGGGGUCUGGUGUCCCACAGAGGGCAGCCUCCCUGCUGCCCCACCUUGCCCCCCAGCCCUUCAGUGGGGAUUUCACCACCAGCACCAGCGUUUUCUCCCCACUGAGACCAGCUGGGGCAGGCGGGGGGGUUCCCCUGGUUUUUGGUCUCCAGUGCCCACAUCAGCUGCCCCUGAGCUGCAGCACCCAGGCUGGCAGUGCUCAGAUACUCAUCCAGGAGCUUUGGGCAGGGUGCAGCCACUAGCGAGGGAUCGAUUUUUGAGUGUGAGAGGGUUUCAUCUGCCGUGAGGCUGGGCAAGUCCCCAGGGAUCCCCCAGAGCAUGUGUGGAGCAGCAUCCACGCUGCCCAGCCCACCACAACACCCGUGGUCGAGCAGCCAGGGAUGGGGCUCAGCUCUCCCCAAAGGUUGAGCCUUCCUUCCCCCACAUUCCCCUUGUGUGAGCAGUGACACCCUCCUGUCCCCAUGACACCCCAGUUGUCCCCCAGUUACCACCCAGGCUGCAGUUUUCCCCCCAGUAGAGUCAUUGCAGGGCUGAGGGGGGAGGGCUUAUGGUGCCAGCCCUGCCCUGAGCCCCAGCCAGCGCCCACAGCAUCUGGGAGGGGCAGGGCUGGGGAAGGGGGGCUUUGGGAGGGCACUGCUAGGGAAAGGGGGGGGCCUCUCCCACCCCAUCCACUGCUGGGCAUCGCUGGAGCCUCAUUGCUGCAGAGCAGGGCAUGGGCUGGGUGCCACGGGGCAUCUGCCCCCAUAGUCCUGGGGGGAAUGUCACCUAUUGCCAGCCCACAUCAGGGGCCAACACCACCCACCCCAUCCCACCCUGGGCCCUGCAAUCCCCCAGCCCCAAGCUGGGGCUCCCUCCUGCCCUCGGCACCCCCUGCCCCUCGGUUGGCUUUGACCCUGAGCCCAACCCGGCCCCUGGGGCGGUGGGGAGCAGGAGCAGACCCCCGGGCUGGGGCUGGGGUGUGAGAGGAGUGGGGGGGGGGGGGGGGGGGGGGGGGCUGGGGCUGGGGUGUGAGAGGAGUGGGGGGUGGGCCCGGCAUCGUCCCCACCCCGCCCCACAGCCCCUCUGUCCCCUGCCCGGCUCUGCUGAAGUGCACUUCCCGUGCCCCUGAGCUUUUCACUUGUGCCGAAGCCGUUUGAAUUCCUUUCCCUUCCCCUCCCCUUCCCAUCCCUCCCCACCCCGUUGUUUGUAAAACACCCAAACUGAGCAAAUAAACUGUGUGAACAACCAGCCUGGAGCCACCGGUGGGUGGGAGGAGGCUGGGCUGGGGAUCCUGGGAGGAUGGGGAUGGAAGGUUUGGGAUGGGGAUGGAAGGUUUGGGAUGGGGAUGGAAGGUUUGGGAUGGGGAUGGAAGGUUUGGGAUGGGGAUGGAAGGUUUGGGAUGGGGAUGGAAGGUUUG
This is a long non-coding RNA of Ficedula albicollis (Collared flycatcher), 2426 nucleotides long. The record is from Ensembl. Lineage: Eukaryota; Metazoa; Chordata; Aves; Passeriformes; Muscicapidae.